This 726-nucleotide ribosomal RNA is filed under the name Triticum aestivum (bread wheat). Its description in RNAcentral is "partial small subunit ribosomal RNA". Lineage: Eukaryota; Viridiplantae; Streptophyta; Magnoliopsida; Poales; Poaceae. The record is from RNAcentral.
AUGAUCUCCUACCCCGUGCGUACCGCGAUCGGUUUUGAUCGGAACAUGCUGACGAUGGAGAGUACUGCAGAAGUAUUCAACCUGGGAGAGACCGUGCACUCGUGGUCCGAUCAGCACCAUGAUAGACUUAUGAGAAGGGAAUGCCAAAAUGCGGACCCCAAGGACACACACAACUCGGGGAUACAACUUCAAAACCCAACACUUUCACUUCAAGCGCUGGAGGUUUGCGAGCUGGUGGACUUGGGUUUUGAAGGGGAUAUUUUCACGUGGCGGAACCAUAGCAAGGAGUUGAGCACGUAUAUCUGUGAGAGAUUGGAUAGAGCCACUGCUAACACAGCGUGGAGUACAAAGUUUCCGGAGUAUGAAGUGGUAAAUGGGGCGCCUCGCCAUUCGGAUCAUCGGCCCAUUAUUGUCAGCACGACGGGACUUGAUAGGAGUUGGAAGGGAGGAGAUAGAGGGUUUCGUUUUGAGGCGAGAUGGCUACAAGAGGAAGGAUGUGAAGAGGUGAUCCGGGAAGCUUGGGAGAGAAGCUGGGAGGAGAGGAAGGGUGGAGUAGCUCAUGCACUGAAGGAGAUAGCGGGGAAGAUGAAGGUGUGGGAUAAGGAAGUAGUUGGAGCAGUGGAAGGGAGGUUGAGAAAAGCGAAAACAGACUUGGAGCGGUGCAUGAAAGAAGUAGUGUCGCAAGAGAAGAUUGAGGAGGAGGCAAGGCUAAGAUGCUUGAUGUGA